UGUCACCCAUCUGUAUAGUACAGUAUAGUACAUACUACUGUAUAUACACUGUACUGUCGAAUGCUCAAUUCUGAUUGGCCGGGAAGUGUCGAUUCAUUUUAUAUAACAGCAGCUUGCCAGCUGCAAGGUUUACAUUCUUAUUCUCAUUCUAAUACAUUAUUGUUUCUAUAGUAACAAUCAACACGUGUCAUUUUUGAUAUGGUGAAUACACUUAUUUAGCAUUUACGGAAGGAGUCUCCAGUGUCAGAGCACUUUGCAGUAGACCAUGGUAAAGCUUCAAGAAAUCUUGACGUUUUCUGACGCAGGAAGGCCUUGAGAAUAGAGGGCUCUGCAGCUUCUCGGUGACAAGUAAAGUUUUAUGUUCGUACUAACUUCAAGAGUGAGAGAAAAAAAGAGGCUGGUUUCAUACCUGACAGCUCACUCACACUAAUAUAAACCUUACACAUGCUGAACUUUUUUGCUGAGUACCACAGGAUCCCAGACCCGAUGCACACCAACCACAUGCCCUGUGAAUCUCUCACGCAAGCCUACAAACACAGCUGUGCCUCUCUGAUUCAGCAUAGGGGCAUAGGGAGAACAUGCAAAGUCCGCGCACACAAGGCAGAGACGCGAACCACCAAACCACCAAACCACCAAACCACCGUGCCCACCUACAAGUGAAAUAAAGAACCUCCGCGCGCGCGCCACAGCUGCUUGUCCGGAGCUCGCGCCCUCCUCCUCCUCCUCUUCAGUUCACGGGCAGUGUUAAAGGUGUGCGUGUUGGUGUUGGAGCGCGCGCGUCGCUCAUGCAGCUCUGCUCGCGCUGCUCGCUCACCCGUCUGUCCCUCCAGCUAUUCAUUCCUUCACCUCGUUAAAUCUCGCGUGACGGGGGAGGAGGGAGGGGAGAAACACACACGAGCACACAGGUCCCAUAGGCGAUCAGUAUUUAAGGGCGACGUGACUUACCGACGCCUCGAGCGCACUGUUACUGGAUUUACAACUGAGAGAAAGCUCGCGCGCUUUCACUGCUGGGUGCGAAUUCUUGGCCAGUUUCUCAGCUUCUCAUCUUUCCUUCUGCUACUUCUUCUUCUUCUUCUUUUACUUCUGUACAUCAGGGUUCUUCAUUUCAUUCUUUCUGUAUCCGUGUCUUUAGGCACUUAAAAGUUCUUAAAGGAAAUGAAAUCUACACAUUUUCCCCUCAUACCACAACUGUAGCCAUGUUUCUUAGCAGAGGUCUGCUUCUUUAAAGUAAGGAAAUGUAUAGAUACACUAUAUGGGCAAAUGUUUGUGGACACCUGACCAUCACACCCAUAGAGUCGGAUCCAUAAUUAUUUGGACAGUGACACACUUUUAGUACUUUCGCCUCUCUUCACCACCACAAUGGAUUUGAUAUGAGGCAGUCAAGAUACGAUUGAAGUGUAGACCUUCAGCUUUAUUUCAAGGGGUUUAUCGAGAGAGAAAAAAAUGCAUUAACCGUUUAGGAAUUACAGCCAUUUUGUACAGAGUCCGUAAAUUGUCGCUGGCUCAAAAGUAAUCGGACAAUUGACUGAUAAACAGUUUCAUGGCCGGGUGUGGCCUGUUUACUUGUUAUUUCAUCACAGAUUAAGGCGAUACAAGGUAUGGAGUUGAUUUCAAGAGUUUGGUAUUUGCUAGCUGCUCAUGGGAACUCUCCGUAUGCGGUCCAACGAGGUGUUGGACCGCGUAUUGGCCUGCAACGACUUGCAACUAUGCAAGCGAAGGAGGCCAUCAUUAGGUUGAAAAAAGAACAGACCUGUCAGAGAGAUGGCAGAAACUUUAGGAGUGGCCACAUCAACAAUUUGGUGUGUUCUUAAUAAGAAGGAAUGCACUGGCGAGCUCAGCGACACCAAAAGGCUGGGAAGACCACGGAAGACAACUAAAGUGGAUGAUUGCGGAAUUCUUUCCUUGUUGAAGAAAAGCCCCUUCACAACAUCUAGCCAAGAACAGUCAAGAACACUCUGGAGGAGGUAGGGGUAUCAUUGUCAAAGUCUAUAAUCAAGAGAUGCGAAUGUGAAUACAGACGGUUUACCUCAGGAUGCAAACUAAUGGGAGCACUCAAGAACUGAAAGACCAGAUUAGACUUUGCUAAAUAAAAAAAAAAAUAAAAGCCCUAAAAAAAAAAAGUCUGACCAGUUCUGAUGCAAGCUUAACUUGUACAAGAAUGAUAGUAAGAGAAGAGUAUGGAGAAGGAAAGGAAGGGCUCAUGAUCCAAAGCAUACCGCAUCCUCCGUCAAACAUGUGGAGACAGUGUUAUGGCAUCGGUAUGUACAGCUGCAAAUGGAACUGGAUCACUGGUGUUUAUUGAUGACAUGACUAGAGCUAUAAUUUCUGCUCAGAUUCAGUCAAAUGCUGCAAAACUGACAGAACUGAUCGAAAGAUAUUAAAUGGUCUUAAAUAUCUAAUGACCUUAACCCAUUUUAGCAUACUUUUCAAUUACUGAAGACAAAACCGAAGGCAGAAAGACCCACAAAAACGCACCAACCGAAGGCAGCGGCAGUAAAGGCCUGGCAAAGCAUCUCAUGGGAGGAAACACAGCAUUUGGUGAUGUCCAUGGGUUACAGAUAUCAGGAAGUGAUUGACUGCAAAGGAUUUGCAUCAAAGUAAUAAAAACAAUCAUAAUAUUUAUGAUCAUGUUCGUUUGUCCAAUUACUAAUAGUCCAAUUACUAUUUAGGGGGGCUAAAUCUGUAAUGAGAUAUUCAACAAGCACAUAUGAGUGUAACAGACAGGUGUCCACAAACUUUUACCUUUAUAUACACACACACACACACACACACACACACACACACACAUAUAUAUAUAUAUAUAUAUAUAUAUAUAUAUAUAUAUAUAUCUCCUGUGUAUGCCUACAUUCAAUUUUACUAUAAUAAACUGUUCCUUUAACUGUUGCUGCCUUACAGCUCCAGGGUCCCGGGUUCGAGCUUGGGUCAUGGUUUGUGUGGACUUGUUCACGUUCUCCCUGUGCACUUCCCCAAAAAAUGCCAGCAGGUGGACUGGCGAAUCUAGAUUUACCCCUAGGUGUGAGUGUGCGUGAGUGUGUGUGUGUGUGUGUGUGUGUGUGUGUGUGUGUUGCCCUGUGAUGGCCUGAUGGUGUUUACAUCUUAUGAACAGUGUUCCCAGAUUAGGCUCUGGACCCUGACCAGGAUAAAGUAGUUACUGAAGAUGAACAAUUGAAUGAAUGACUGAAUGAAUGAAUGAAUAUUCAUUUUCAUAACUGUUAAAAUAUGCACGUGAAAUAGAACUAAUUAUAUUAUGAAUGUGCAUCAGUAAUAGCAAUGGUCGCGAUCGCAAAAAAAAAGGACAAUAUUUUGUAUUAUUAUUAAUAAUUCAGGUCUAAGACCUAUUUUUAUACUUUUAUACUUUUAUAUGUUUAUGCUUUUAGCUAUACCAAUGUGUGAAAGUAAACAUUCUCUUUAACAUGAAGUUCUUUUAACUAGCUGGUUAAAACUGUUGGGGUAUUUAGUUUCUGAGAGAUAUACGAUGACUCUUUCAAAACAUAUUUUAAGGCUAUUUAAUGUGAAUUGUUGCAGCUAGUUGAGGUUUGAUACACAAGGUUACUUGUAUAUUGCGCAGUGUGAGUUUCCUCCACAUGUUUAUUCUCUGUUUUUUGUUUGUUUGUUUGUUUGUUUGUUUUUGACAUAUUUUUCGUAUAGUACAUUUCUUGUACUUCUCCAUAUCCAAUCCAGUUUUUGCUUUCUUGUUAAUAGGUUCCUUCUCUCCUUUGAACAGUUUUCAGUUUAGUUUUACUUUACUAUAAUAACCCUGCCUGGGAGAACUGUUGUCAGAACUUUGCCUCCAGACCCUUUCACACCUGCAGCACAUGACCAGCUAUUUGCAUCCCAUCCAUCAUCAGACCACAUGCAGCUAGACGAUCUUGGCCAAAAGCGAUAUAAACACUCACCGUCCACUUUAUUAGAAACACCUGUACACUUGCACAUUCAUGCAGUUGCGGCUUUAGGGUAUCCUUGUGAGAUUAUCCACAAGUACAGAAGAGUCAGAAGCGCAGAAGGCUCCAGAUGAAGGACGCAGGAGGAUAAGAGCAUUAGGAAGAAUCAAGCAGGUCCACAGGGCCGCGAGCUGAGCAGAGGAAUGCAGAGUUCGAGAUCACUGUGACUACCAGGUCACAGCCAUGACAGGAAUGACUCUCCAUAAAUUUCAUCACUCACUUUUCCCCAUGACAGAGGAACUUUGGGCGUGUAAAUGUGUGUGUGUUAGAGAGAGACUGACCUUGAAGUAACACUCCGAGUUCGACAUCAAAGGAAUGUGGAAUAAUGUGCUUAUAAAAACUCAGCACUGAGUAACAACUCCCUGAGACUGUACGAGGAAGAAAGCUUGAAAGGAAUAAGACUCGAAUGGGAACCCGUCCUCUUCUGGGUGUCACCGGAUUACGAUUAUAAAUCAUUACUCUUCUGCAACUGUUAUAAAGGCAAGGAGUAAUAAGCGUGUUAAACGCAUGUUCAGUAUGAUGAGCACAGGUAUAUCCUGAAUAUACGUAUCUCCUAUAUAUCUAUCAGCUGUUCAACCAAUGUUGAUCUUCAUAAUGUCAUUAUUUACAAUGGCAUACGGUUUAAAUUCCUCUGAAAUAUUAGUUAGUUUGAUUUAAACAUGUUUAAAAAUUGUUAUUUGAGAGAUAUAAGCUGAUGUUCCAUCAAUUUCCUCACCUUUCUAGAAAACUAUGGAGCAGCAUGCUCAUUGCCCUAUUUAGCUCUAUAGAGUUAUUCUUGCACCUAGUGGUCAAACAUGGGAACUGCAAUCAACAUUAAUACAGGCACAGGAAUCAUGCUGCCCCAUGCUCACUCUAUGAACAUUUUCAGUGGAGGAGGAGCUCUUGUUAUAAUCCCAAACAAUCAGAAUUAAAUCUAAUACAUUUCUGAAAACUAAGGUAAAGUGUAAGUGCAGGCAGUGUGUGUGUGUGUGUGUGUGUGUGUGUGUGUGUGUGUCUAUGAUGUUCAAAAUCAUUUUCAAAGUAUUUAUUGAUACAUUGGAAAGAUUGGGAGAGGGAAAAGGGAAUCAUGGGUGGAUAAUGCCCUUACAUCAGAAAUGUGUGCAUACUGUGGUGACCUUGUUUCUCGUGCAAAGGCUGAGAAACAUGGCUGUCUCCCUUUUCCAAUGCAGAUUUUUUUGUGUGGCUAGUUUCAGGUCUUGUCAAGAUUGGAAGCACAUCAGCUUCAUGGAACAUAGGUUGUUGAACAAAGGUACAUUUAAAACCACGCAAAAUAAGAUGCUCGACUGUAUGCUGGGUGAUUGUAUGCUGUCGACACUCAACUGCCUAUUACUCUAAACAUUUCACUAGGUAGUAACCUAUAGCAUAAAUCAAGUGUGAUGUUGGCCUGCCCCACCAAAAUCUAUGGUCACAUGACCCACAAUGUCAUAGUCACAUGUCCAGUGUUAACCCAUGCAGUGGUAGCUCAGGGGUUAAGGUUUAUUGCUUGUGACAGGAAGCUGGGAUUUCAAAUAUCUUGGGAAAAAUCCUGAGGAAAAUUCUUAACCAUUAAGAGGAUUGGAUUAGAUUCUACCACACUCUGGAUAAAAGUCUAUGCCAGGCUAUGCUUCCUUGGUCCAACUAUAACAUAACUAAUCCAUACAAAUACGUCAAAGAUUUUUGGUGUCUAAAGACUGUUCAUUUUUUAUAAGAUUGCUAAUAAGACUCUUUUAUUAUUAUUAUUAUUUAUUUUAUUUUUUUUUACACUUUUCUGGCCACAAGGUUCAGAAUCUUGAAGAUUACAGUGUGAUUGCAAUCCGUAUUUCAAUGUGUAGAUUUCUAGCAGUCAGUUUUUCGGGGCAAGAUAUAGACCCUGGUUUGAAAAUAGGCAAAACAGGCUGUUUACGCAGUUGCCCACAUUGACAUUUCUGUGAUCAUCAUUCAUACCAGUAUUGUAUAAAGUAGGCCAAUAAGGAUUUUGCUGGCGAUAUAUAAAGUUCUUAUGUGGUAUUAACGCAACACUUAUAAGAAAGGGAGAAGGAACGAAAAUGAAGCAAAAGAAAACAAAAAUAAAAUUAAAUAAAGUUUUUUUUUUAAAAAAGGGAAGAAAAGAGAAAAUAUAUCAUGCACAAAACACAUAAAAAAAACCUUCGAGGAAACAAUGACAACGGGAAAAAAGGGAUACAAAAAAAAAAAGAGAAAAGAGAGAAAAACAAUACAAGUGGAAUCUGUAUAUCAUUUUUCCAGAUCUCCUUAUCAUGCUAUGUUGAUAUAGGAGUAUACUGUCAGGGUGUGUGUGUGUGUGUGUGUGUGUGUGUGUGUGUGUGAUCUUGAUGCAACACUUAGAGCUAGAAGGCACAAGAAUGUAUGUAAGAUAAUGUGUUUAAAAGAUGGAACGGGCAGAAUAAACAACCAUCUUUUUGAUUUCUUAUCUGAAAGCCUGUGUUUAUCCUCCGGGUUUCUCAUUAGCAGAAUAUCUUUAGGUUAUUAUUGAAUAAUGGACUUGUAUCUAGGUGCAUCUACACAUUAACAUUCAACAAUUUAACUCCUUCAUGGCGUUUCCAGUUCAGCUAGAUCGAGACACAUUACUGCGAAUAAACAUGCAACUCAGUGUGUAUGAAAAAACACUAUUGCUAUACGUAUAUUGUUACAUAGCUCAGGGGUUCCCAAACUUUUCCACUGAAAGGCCCCCCAAAUAGCAUUAACAUUUGACCGAGGCCCCCCUUUUGCAAGAUGUCUUUAAAACACAUUAAAAAUAUAGACUUUUGAAUAUAUCCACCUUUUUUGUAUUAAUAAUGACAUCUUACAUCUUUAUAUUACAUUACAUUAGGAAUUGAUUGUGUGUGUGUGUGUGUGUGUGUGUGUGUGUGAGUGGUUGUCUGAGAGUGAGAAAGAGAAAACAUACUAGUGGGAGGGAUGGGCACACCAAGUUGUUGAGGCCCCCUGGGCGCCCCCUGGCGGCCGCAGCCCCCACUUUGAAAACCACUGACAUAGGUAAUAUAAAAUAAAUAAAUUUUUUUUUUUUUUUUUUUUUUUUAAAUCUUGCAACAACACAGUGUGGGGUUGUCACAAAUAUUAUGUUACUUGCUUUACAGGAUGAGGUUUUCCAUUUUCACCAACCUAUCACAAGCUUCUCUUGCUAUUAGUUAUUGCUAUAACAUUUCUACAUUUACAUUUUAUGGCAUUCGGCAGACGCCCUUAUCCAGAGCGACUUACAUUUAUCUAAUUUAUACAACUGAGCAGUUGUAGUCAUGACCUUUUGAUCAGUAACCCAGAGCCUUUAACCACUGAGACACCACAGCCAAGAAGUGCCUGCUCUACACUACAGAAAUGAUAUACAGCGAUAUAUAAGGAUAUAUAACAAUUAGUUUAUUAAGCGUAACAUGCACGGUAAAGUUAUACUCGAAUCCAUCAGACUUACACUUCACCUGCCAUCUUGGUUAGUCCUGUUUUAAGUCACGUACUGAUCAUAACUAUUGCUCUAGUGUCUAGGGUCACAGAGGAGCCUGGAGCCUAUCCCAGGGAACUCGGGGCCCAAGGCGGGGGACACCCUGGACAGGGUGCCAACAUAUUGCAGGGCAAAAUUGCACACACAUUCACACACCAAUUCACACAGACAGUUUGGAAAUGCCAAUCACCCUACAGUGUAUGUCUUUGGACUAGGGGAGGAAAUCAGAGUACCCAGAGGAAACCCCUAAAGCACUGGAAAAACAUGCAAACUCUGCACACACAGGUUAGAGGCGGGAUUCGAAAGCCCAACCCCGGAGUGAAACAGGCUGCAGUAUAAGGUUCAAGGGAGUCCUCUAUUGAGUGAAAACCACGCUUAAUCCAAGAAUAUAUACAAUUAUCUAAUACAAAUGAACUAGCAACUGGAUAUUAAACUUUAUUUUGAGAUGGAGCAUAACUUUGUAGGAAUGUGUAUUCAUUUCAUGAAAACAAAGU
Ictalurus furcatus (blue catfish) is the source of this 7859-nucleotide long non-coding RNA. RefSeq lists it as uncharacterized. Lineage: Eukaryota; Metazoa; Chordata; Actinopteri; Siluriformes; Ictaluridae. The transcript has 7 exons. The record is from RefSeq and is a predicted model, not a curated record.